Molecule: ribosomal RNA, 371 nt
Filed under: Staphylococcus pseudintermedius
Lineage: Bacteria; Bacillati; Bacillota; Bacilli; Caryophanales; Staphylococcaceae
Description: partial 23S ribosomal RNA
Rfam family: Bacterial large subunit ribosomal RNA
Source: RNAcentral
GACGCAGUAGGAUAGGCGAAGCGUGCUGUUGGAGUGCACGUCCAAGCAGUGAGAUUGAGUGUUAGGCAAAUCCGGCACUCUUAAGAUUGAGCUGUGAUGGGGAGAGGAACUUGUUCCUCGAGUCGUUGAUUUCACACUGCCGAGAAAAGCCUCUAGCUAGAAUAACGGUGCCCGUACCGCAAACCGACACAGGUAGUCAAGAUGAGAAUUCUAAGGUGAGCGAGCGAACUCUCGUUAAGGAACUCGGCAAAAUGACCCCGUAACUUCGGGAGAAGGGGUGCUCUUUGAGGUUCACGCUUCGAAGAGCCGCAGUGAAUAGGCCCAAGCGACUGUUUAUCAAAAACACAGGUCUCUGCUAAACCGUAAGGUGA